Molecule: ribosomal RNA, 696 nt
Filed under: Dryocoetes uniseriatus
Lineage: Eukaryota; Metazoa; Arthropoda; Insecta; Coleoptera; Curculionidae
Description: eukaryotic LSU rRNA
Rfam family: Eukaryotic large subunit ribosomal RNA
Source: RNAcentral
CGUGAAACCGUUUAGGGGUAAACCUGAGAAACCCGAAAGAUGGAAGGGAGAAAUUCACCGCGACUCGCGAACGGCGUCGGGCGGGGUUGAGUGACGGUGGAAACGUUCGCGUUUUUCCGCGCCCUCCGUUCGAACGAACCGUACGCGAACGCGUGCACUUUUCUCCUGGUAAGACGUCGCGAUCCGUCGGGCGUCGGUCUACGGUACGCGGUGGAGCCCGUCAGUCGUCGUUUACCCGACGUACUGGCGAACCCGCGUGUUUCCCGGCCGACACGCUCGACGGUAWACUAACGGUCGGAGGCCGCUCGUUUUUUAAGGAGCGUUCGACUCGUCGCAAGCGCGUCAGUUAUGUGGGCGCGCGGACCUAGUGCCGCGUCCCGCUUCUGGCGACUGUUGGUGACGAAGUUCUCGAACAGACCUGGACCGAUCUGCGACGCUAUAGCUUUGGGUAAUUUCAGGACCCGUCUUGAAACACGGACCAAGGAGUCUAGCAUGUACGCGAGUCAUUGGGAAACACUAAACCUAAAGGCGUAAUGAAAGUGAAGGUCUUCCUCGCGAGGACCGAGGGAGGACGGGCGGCGCGCCCUUAAAAGCGCCCGCUCUGCACUCCCGGGGCGUCUCGUUCUCAUUGCGAGAAGAGGCGCACCAAGAGCGUACACGCUGGGACCCGAAAGAUGGUGAACUAUGCCUGGUCAG